GGUUUCAUGGCAUAAUGGUUUGAGUGUUGGACUACGACUCUGGAGGGCAGGGAUCGAAUCCCGGCUCAGCCA
This is a non-coding RNA of Phrynosoma platyrhinos (Desert horned lizard), 72 nucleotides long. The record is from the annotation of a GenBank genome assembly. Lineage: Eukaryota; Metazoa; Chordata; Lepidosauria; Squamata; Phrynosomatidae.